GACAGAGGAUGCAAGCGUUAUCCGGAAUGAUUGGGCGUAAAGCGUCUGUAGGUGGCUUUUUAAGUCCGCCGUCAAAUCCCAGGGCUCAACCCUGGACAGGCGGUGGAAACUACCAAGCUGGAGUACGGUAGGGGCAGAGGGAAUUUCCGGUGGAGCGGUGAAAUGCGUAGAUAUUGGGAAGAACACCGGUGGCGAAGGCGGCUCACUGGCUCAUUACUGACGCUCAUGCGCGACAGCGUGGGGAUCAAACAGG
This 253-nucleotide ribosomal RNA is filed under the name uncultured bacterium. RNAcentral describes it as "partial 16S ribosomal RNA". It matches the Rfam family "Bacterial small subunit ribosomal RNA", at positions 524 to 776 of the family's 1533-position model. The record is from RNAcentral.